CAUCUUCUUUCUUCAUCCACAUCGCCGCCCACUCUGUUCGUUUCUAGCCCCAUCCAAACCGAAGCCAGAUCCAGUCGAUGCGAGAAGCGAGCGAAGGUAGCGCGGGUUGCGCUAGGUGGCCGGUGAGCAAAGCGGCAGCGUGUGGCUUUGGUCACCUACGCGUCAUGGGAGAGACCGGCGACGUCUACGACCUACCGGCGCUCUGGUCCUUCGCCGGCGGCGUGGAUGGAAAAGCCGCCGGUCUGCUCGGUUGGGGGACCGACGGCGGCGGUUGUGCUGCGUGUGGACGCUGCCGAGGAUGGCUGCAAGUACCAGCAAUACCUCGAGUUCGUAUUGGGCGGCUUUCUCGCCAACGAGGUGGAGAGGAAAGGAGGUAGCCUCGAGGGGCCUCGCGUACCUCCACGGCGAGAUUACAGACUCCGGCUCUGCGACGACCCUGGAUUCGGCGGGCUCGGGGCACGCCACCGUUCAUGGCACCCGACGAGGCGAGCGGGGAGGAGCAGGGCGACCCCAUCGACCUUUGGAUUUGUUGGCCGGCCGUACGACGAUAAGGUGCCUCGCGUCCGCGGCGCCGCUUCGCCUGCUUCUCUCCCUCCUCUUGAAUCGAUGGAUCCAGACCAGGUUAAAGUUAUCUCUCGCUCUAUCUCUCUUUCAUGUUAAAUGUCUGGGAAGAAAGUUCUAGGAUAUGCAUUUUGUAUUAGUGUUCCCCACAUGUUUGGUGAUUUGCUCCGCCAUGCUCAUGUCUUGCCGCUCUCUGUGUCCUAGGUGCCUAGGUGAAUCGUCUCCGCUUCCGGCCGUUCGUCAGGUACUUCCACCGCCCCUACUGAUCUGGCUCCCUUGGACAGCAGUCCUUAACUUGCCGGUUGGUCUGCCGUGUGGGUGCUCGACGGCCAGCAACGCUGGUGCGUGCUCAUGGUCCAGGAGGGCGUCCUUGAGGCUGCCUUGCUUCUAGGUUCUACCCAGACGAAGAUGAUGAUGCCCACGCGGAGGAUUGUGCUAAUGGAGGGAGUCUGCAGCAGGAGCGGAUCGAUAAGGCUGCUGGUUGAGCGGCACAUGGAUUCUUGAUGGCAGGGUGUGUGACGCUCUGAUUGGUAGAGCAAGCAUGGCCACUCUGCAUUUAGAAGAGGGAUGCACGGUGGAUAUGUCUGAAUUCAUCGAUGGUGUCUUUGAUUCACGGAUUUGCAAUCACUGGUGAGGAAUAAACAUGGACUUUGCGCAUCAUAUCGUUUUUCUGAAGGGAUAAUUUUAAAUCUUUUCUACUCUCACUUAAGUGCUACGAGUGUUUUAAUCAGCGAAAUGAAACAAGUGUUCAGUUUCGAUAUUUCAUUUUGAAUGAAAUAUGUACGCAUUAACCAGGCUUCUGGCCGAGGUAUUCAUGGUCCACAUCUGGUCCCUUGUCCUGAAGAACUAGGUAUGUUACAUCUUUCUGUUUACAAUUAUCUUAUCUGUGAGGAGAUGAAAACUUUGGUUAUCGUGGUAACUAGCAUAGAAAGCUUGCCUAUGAAGCAGCAUUAAAUAUAUUGCUCUCCCAUCAGUAUUAUAGUCUAGAUAUGCGACUUUUAUUGGUAAACUACGUUAGAUAAAACUCCCUUUUUAUAAAUGUUGACCGCUUCUCUUUGUGCCAUUCGUUAAGAGCUCUACAUACUAUCAUGUCUGAACUUAUGUUGAUCAGAUUAGGCAAAUCAUGCUUGAAUAAAUUUAUAUCCAGCAUUGCCAAUCCUUACUAAUUUGCUACAGAGUAAUAUAAAUAUUCAUUGUGGACAUAAUCCACAUAUAAUUGUUUAUCUCUUCAAUCUUCGUUAACAGAAUUUUACCACUUCCAAAUAGAUGGGAGAUAAAGUAUUUUAAGAUUCAUCAACCUGAUGGUCUACUAAUAAUUGUGAAAUAAUCCAAAUCAUUAAGCAUCUUGAAGUUGUUUUUUGCUGCCAUGUCAUUUCUAAAUCAAUCGUUUGUCUGAAGUACUUGCAUUCUUAUAAUAUAUUGGGAAUUUUGGAUAAAGUGGUGAGACGUUGGAGGUAGUUUCCUUUGUUGAUUUUUUUUAAUAACCAAUGAAUUGAAUAAUUGGCUUAAUGUUGCAUAUGCUUAAGGGUCACGAUUAGUUUCAUGUGUACAAAAUAGUAGCAGGUGGAAACUGAUGGAAACUGAUGGUGUUCUUUUGAAAAAUGGAACGGGGCCCAAUCAUACAAGUGUGCCGUGGUAGAGUCAAAACAAAAAUCAUCCAACUUAUUCCCUACGCUAUGGUUAGUUACACACUUGGACUUUGUAAUUUGGAUAUCACAUUGUACAGAAGUACUAUUAGUGUGAUUCAGUUUUUCCUAAAAAAUAUUGUCAAUCAGGAAAACCUCGGCUCAUUUUGAACAAGAAGCUAAUAUGAUUACGACGUACUGUCUUAGCAUACUAUUCUUUAGAGCAAUAGAUAGUGGAUAUCAAAUGCUUUGAACAAGAACCAAAUCAAGAUUACUACGGGUUAUAUGUGUCCUGGGAAUUUUUGUUUUCUGAUUUAUUAUUUUUUCUAUUCAAGAUGAAAUCAACAAUUUGGAUCUGAGCCUAUACAAUUACUUUUUUUUUCAAGGAAUCCAUUCUUCUGGUUAUUUUUUAUUCCAAAUGAACUCAAAUCAUUUGGAACUAAACAUGUAAUGUUUCCCUGGUUCAAGGAAUGUGCACAUAUAGAGAACAUGGUCAUAGCUCUAUCAAAUAAGGGUUAAUGUAAGUAAACAGUUAAUGAUACGCUUAAGUGUUUUUUUUCCCUCAGUUGAACUAUUUUGUAGUUUCAGUUCAGUUCUGAUUUGUGCAUAGGUGUAUUUUCCUGGCCAUCCAUAUAUGGGCAAUUGCCAUGAAUUUAGGAACAUGCUAAUUAGGCACUUAUUCAUUGCAUUCACCUAUAGAAUGUAUAUUGUGUAAGAUUCAAGAUUCUCAUAUUUUGCUAUUGGUGUAUUACAUAACAAGAAAUAGCAGAGAAAUUCAAUUCGGCUCCCAGGUGCAUAUGCUCCCUCUACCAAAAAAUUAUAUUUCGAAAUAUCGAAAAAAUUUGACAAAAAAUUAUACAUGUACAUAUCCAUAAUUUAUGUUUGUUCGUCAAGUUUCGUUAGGAAACAACAUUUUUUGUGGUCUAUGUAAAAAAGAGAAAAUGUAUCUUCUUAAAAAACCUCAUUUCUACCAUUGAAUUUUGUCUUUUAACACAUAUGCCACACGACACAAGUCUAUUUUUCAUGAAACAACUUUGCGAGCGCGUCAUUUCAUGAAAUUUCAUUUCAAUUUUUCAUGAAACAACUUUGUGAGGAACAUACAACUUUGCGAAUUUUUCGUUUCAAUUUUUUUCUCAAUUAGAAUGGAUCGGCUAUUUAAGUCUGCCAUCUUUCUUGAACAUUUUGGUCUUAUGAUUUCUUUCACCUACUCUAUUCCUAUGUAUUGCUAAGCCAUUUCAUCCUACUAUCUUUCUUGAACAUUUUGUCCUUAUAUCCUUAAUUUCUUCUAUUCAGUUACUUAUGUACUGCUAAGUUACCGAAUAAGUAAUUAAUGUUUAGGGCUAGGCGGUUACAUUGUUGGAAACCAAUAUAACUUUUAAUUUCAUCUAUUGAAGCUGACACUGAUUAUAGCUACAUUUCUCUAUUACUGUCCUAACCCUUCUCAGUUUUUCAAUUUUGAAUUGAUAACCUGGCACACAGGGAUAUGAAUGCAAUUAACUUACCUUUUCUCAAAAUAUUUCAAGUUCGGUUCUCUUGAUAUCAUCGUUCACUUCAUGGAAGAGUUAUCAGCCAUACACAUCAUUUCUGAAGUGAUGACGGCUGAUGAAAGUUCUGGUUAGCAUGAUCAGGUCACCUUACAAGCUUGAGGUGUGCAUGGUGGUAUUGGCAUAUAUUUGUUCAUCAACCCUAGAAGAAAUGCAUGGUGUUAUUGUCUCCAUAUUAUUGAAUUUUUUGCAGUUUGGUUAAUUCAUAACUUUUAAGGAACACAUAGUUCUAAAUCUUCAACUGUCAUAUUAUUUUUCAGAUAUGAAGAAACACCCCUUAUCUGUUCAAUCUGUAUAUUUGGCUAACUUAGCAUUGCAUUAAUGCUUUAUGAGUCCCACCCACCAACCUCAUUGGUGACCUAGACUCUUAUUCACCUAAAAGUCUUACGUGGAAUGGCAGAAAAGUGUAUACAUGACGGGAUCUUAAUCUAAGCAGUAGGUUUAUUUGGGAGUUCAACAUAUGUGCUUAAUUUUUGGAUUGAUUAUACGAAUGUGAAUCUUCUGUUUAUUUAUUUAUUUAUCUCUCCACCUAGCCUUCAGAAUAUAAGAAAUAAACCUUUUCUUGCAUUUCAACACAACUCAUGUGAUUUGUAAAGAUAGUUUAAUUAGUUUACCAGUUAUGCAUUCACUACCAACUCGCUUCGGAACAUUUUUUUUCUUGAUGAUGUGUUUAUAUAUAGUUAUGGUAUCAUAGCUGAGUUUAAUAUAUCGUUGUAAGGUGUCACAUGUACUCCCUCCGGUCUCUUUUAAUUGACUCGGAUUUAGUACAAUUUUAUACCAAAUUCGAGUCAGUUAAAAAGGACCGGAGGGAGUAGUUAGGAUGUAUCAUUGAGUAAGUACAAUUCCGUUGAAAGGGGACCAGAAUUAGCCUACUUGAGUUUUUACAUACCACACAGUUUUCCUUUUAUUUGUUCAAUAUGUCUGAGAUCAGGUUACCAUAUAGAGAAACAAUUCAGUAAGUUCUCCUUGCACAGUGUUAUCUCACCCGUUUAGGAAGCAGUUCAUCAAGCUUCAUUUUGAUGGUCUAAUGGUCAACCAAAGCUAGAUAAGAGAAUUAGAACCACUGUAGAAGGUAUUGAAUAUUAUGUUUGGUUCCAAGUUGAUAUGUAGCAAAAAUUUACCUUUGAAUGUCUACUCUAUGCUAUUCUCAUUAUCUUCCAAAUUGCAGGAAAAAAUAUUUCUAUUUUUAGGUAUAAAGUGCACCAAGAUUUCUUUUCUUGGUCAUGAUGGCUUUGCCAUGGUGCUAUAGUGCUAUGGCCCCGACACGCUCUUGGUGUGUUUGCAUCCACUUGGCUAGCAAAACAAAGUUAGCAGAAGUCCUCUAUGUUAAAUUUGUUCUCCAUGCAGUCCAAACUUCUAAGUUCUAUUUUUUUGGACCAUGCCACUACACUGUAGUUUUAGAUUUUUAAACAGUUUCUAUUUGCAAAUCGCACAUUCAUUAACUAGAAUGGUGAGUUCUUCAUUGAAUCAUUAUAAUGCAUUAGCUCUACUAUUAGUCCAAGCUUCUAAGUCUGAUCUGUUUUUUAGUCAUAGAACACAUCAAGGGAAUCAUCGAGGAGUCCACCCGGUCCAAACAUGACAGGGAAGUCACAUGGGCUUUCUACAUCGCCAACUAGAUGGUGAUCGAAAGGCUCCUCGGGCGGGACGGUGAUGGCUUUACCGGCGAUGAUGAGCCAGGAUCCUCUUCCAAGAGAAUAUGAACCAUACCAGCCUGUUGUCCCUCUGCCAAUAUUUUUCUUAUCUGACAAUGAGGAUGAUGACAGCAAGCGGUGAUGUUCGUAGGCAAAGGAAAAAAGAAGGCACUUACCCUAACUUAGUAUUUGGUUGUUUCCUUCGAGUUUUAUCUACUCGAUGUGUACUAUGUACCUGAUUUCGCUGCCCUUAGUUGUGAUCUUAUCUGUUAGGCGCAUGUCACUGGAGAAAAUAAACCGCCGAAGCCUUGAAACUUUUGCAAACGCCUACUCUAGGCAGGGUGUUGUAGAUGGCAGUGCACAUGGCACGGUUCCACAUAUAGUGUUCCACAUGUGCCCAAGAUUUUUAUACUUA
Molecule: long non-coding RNA, 5776 nt
Organism: Lolium rigidum
Lineage: Eukaryota; Viridiplantae; Streptophyta; Magnoliopsida; Poales; Poaceae
Exons: 2
Source: RefSeq, a predicted model, not a curated record